UCUCUCUCUCUCUCUCUCUCUCCACAACUCCAAAUCUUCUCUUCACUCUCUCAUCUCUCCCUUCCCUUUCUUUUCUUUUUCUGUUCACUCAUUCUCCAGCCCUCCUGAUCUUCUCCUCAUCUUUUCUUCUCGUUUAUCUCCAACGGUGGCUUGUUUUGCAGGGGAUAUGUGAUAUUGAGUAAUGAAGGUGGGGAUUCUAAUUGAAGUUGUGGUAAUUCAACGCUCAAUGUACAAAUUUCUUCUUCUUCUUCUCUUUGUAUUUUUCUCAUUUAUAUUUUAGUUUGUCCUUAAUUCUUUUUUAUAUUAUCAUUUUUGUAAUGAAUUUUCGGGACAUUUGAGCUGGUGAAGAGGUGUCUUUUUUAGCCUUUAAUUUCUUCUGGGGACAUUUGAGAGCGCUUCAUAAAGCCAUUGU
This 412-nucleotide long non-coding RNA is filed under the name Prunus dulcis (almond). RNAcentral describes it as "sRNA ncRNA". The record is from RNAcentral. Lineage: Eukaryota; Viridiplantae; Streptophyta; Magnoliopsida; Rosales; Rosaceae.